This 459-nucleotide ribosomal RNA is filed under the name uncultured bacterium. Its description in RNAcentral is "partial 16S ribosomal RNA". It matches the Rfam family "Bacterial small subunit ribosomal RNA", at positions 338 to 795 of the family's 1533-position model. The record is from RNAcentral.
CCUACGGGAGGCUGCAGUGAGGAAUAUUGGUCAAUGGCCGGAAGGCUGAACCAGCAAAGCCGCGUGAAGGACGAAGGUGCCAAGAAUUGUAAACUUCUUUUGUCAAGGGACAAAAUCAGGCUCGAGAGCCUGACCGAGGGUACUUGAAGAAAAAGCAUCGGCUAACCCCGUGCCAGCAGCUGCGGUAAAACGGAGGAUGCGAGCGUUAUGCGGAUUUAUUGGGUUAAAAGGGUGCGUAGGCGGGCUGUUAAGUCCACGGUAAAAGCCCGGGGCUCAACCCCGGCGAGCCGUUGAAACUGGGUGUCUUGAGAUGUCGAGAGGUAUGCGGAAUGCGCAGUGUAGCGGUGAAAUGCUUAGAUAUUGCGCAGAACACCGAUUGCGAAGGCAGCAUACCGGCGGCGAUCUGACGCUGAGGCACGAAAGCGUGGGUAUCGAACAGGAUUAGAUACCCUUGUAGUC